UUUUCUGGUAGCUUAGUUGGGAAAGAUUCUGCCUGCAAAGCUGAAGACAUCAGUUCAAUUCCUGGGUAGGAAGC
Molecule: transfer RNA, 74 nt
Filed under: Anaplasma phagocytophilum
Lineage: Bacteria; Pseudomonadati; Pseudomonadota; Alphaproteobacteria; Rickettsiales; Anaplasmataceae
Description: tRNA-Cys
Source: RNAcentral